Long non-coding RNA from Cyprinus carpio (common carp), 663 nucleotides. The record is from Ensembl. Lineage: Eukaryota; Metazoa; Chordata; Actinopteri; Cypriniformes; Cyprinidae.
UUCCAUUCUUUAUAAUCUUGUCUUUGAAGACCCCCCCCAUUCUUUAUAAUCUUGUCUGUUUAAUCUCAGUUUUUCAUUGGCAGUGUUUGGGGAUAUUUUGGAUGGCACAUCCACACCUGUGAGUGCAGACCAACAAAACAAAGAGGGCCAGAAAUCUGCUCCCAAAUCAACCCACAAGGCCAAGGAACGAGAAAAUGACAAAGAGAAAAUAAAAAUAACAUCUAAGUCAAGCUCCAAUAUCAGCCUCAUCUGAAGGAUGAAGUGUUAAAGGAGGAGCAGAGGAGGGAACGCUCUGAGAACUUCCAAAGUUUCCAAAGCCUGAUCUGGGACAAUAUUCUGGAACAGCGUAAACAGGAAAAAAGUGCACGUAAGGAAAUGAUGAAACGACAGUUGGGGACAUACAUUGGCUUUCAGGACACAAUGGAUGCAUAUCGGCAAAAGAUGCUGCAGGCUCGUGAGGCAUUCUGUUCCCACAUCCUAAAGGAGCAGUCACAUAAGAAUAUGGAAGAUACUCCUUUGGAAACAGUCAAACAGGUUGAGCAUGAGAAAAUCCCUACUGUGGUCCAAUCAAGUGGAUGUAAGAGUGGGGGCAAGAGGACGUGAUCUGAACACCCAAAACUUUAUAGCAAUAAAAUAGUCAGUCACUCAGUCUAAUAUUGCUCU